UGGGGAAUUUUGCGCAAUGGGGGAAACCCUGACGCAGCAACGCCGCGUGAGUGAUGAAGGCCUUCGGGUCGUAAAGCUCUGUCAGAGGGGAAGAAAUGCAGGGGUGCUGAUAUCAUCUUUGCUUGACGGUACCCUCAAAGGAAGCACCGGCUAACUCCGUGCCAGCAGCCGCGGUAAUACGGAGGGUGCGAGCGUUGUUCGGAAUUAUUGGGCGUAAAGCGCGUGUAGGCGGUUUGAUAAGCCUGAUGUGAAAGCCCCGGGCUCAACCUGGGAAGUGCAUUGGAAACUGUCAGACUUGAAUACGGGAGAGGGUAGUGGAAUUCCUAGUGUAGGAGUGAAAUCCGUAGAUAUUAGGAGGAACACCGGUGGCGAAGGCGGCUACCUGGACCGAUAUUGACGCUGAGACGCGAAAGCGUGGGGAGCAAACA
Molecule: ribosomal RNA, 428 nt
Filed under: uncultured bacterium
Lineage: Bacteria
Description: bacterial SSU rRNA
Rfam family: Bacterial small subunit ribosomal RNA
Source: RNAcentral